Molecule: unclassified non-coding RNA, 406 nt
Filed under: soil metagenome
Description: partial contains 5.8S ribosomal RNA, internal transcribed spacer 2, and large subunit ribosomal RNA
Rfam family: 5.8S ribosomal RNA (bases 1-121)
Source: RNAcentral
GAUGAAGAACGUAGCGAAAUGCGAUAAGUAAUGUGAAUUGCAGAAUUCAGUGAAUCAUCGAAUCUUUGAACGCACCUUGCGCCCUUUGGCCAUUCCGAAGGGCAUGCCUGUUUGAGUAUCAUGAACACCUCAACUCUUCAUGGUUUUCCGUGAUGAGCUUGGACUUUGGGGGUCUUGCUGGCCUAUGAUCAGCUCCUCUAAAAUAAAUCAGCUUGCCAGUGUUUGGUGGGUAUCACAGGUGUGAUAACUAUCUACGCUUGUGGUUUUCCACCAGGUAACCUUCAGCAGUGGAGGUUCGCUGGAGCUCACAGAUGUGUCUCUCCUCAGUGAGGACAGCUCUUUGAAUGUUUGAUCUCAAAUCAGGUAGGACUACCCGCUGAACUUAAGCAUAUCAAUAAGCGGAGGA